UUUUCUUUCUUAAGGCUUUGGUUUCUCCACAGUUUAAAAGACAAAAGGGGUUAACCACUGGGCUAUCUCUUCGGCCCGUGAACACCAAUUUUUAUGAGAGUAGUUACUACUCUCCCUGUGCUGUUGAUACUAGCUGAGGAGCAAUACCUGCUUGGCUUGGUAAAAGCUCUUCAGAGAACUUAGAAAGUAGGUUGAGUAUUCCUCUACCAUAGUGGGAAGAUGAAGUAUUUUAUUCCAGUCAAUUAAAUGGGUGCAGUCAAGAAACUAGAAGGUAUAAAAUGGAUUUAAUAAGCAGGAUAUUAAAAUCAGUCUGUCAUAUUAGAAGGAAUUUAAAGUGCAAUAAGACCUCCAGUCUCUUGGAUAAUUUUUGUGAAACAUAUAAUGACAGUUUUAUUCCAUUUUGAAUUUGAAACAUCAAUGCUGUGAUUUUUCUUUACUAGAAUCAUUCAGCAGAAAUAUAGUACAUAUAUUUAGCUAAAAUUUUCAAGUAGCCACAUUAAAGCAUAUAAAGACAUGGGUAGACUGAAUACUAACAAUUAACUUAGUUUAGGCAGAAUAUGAGUUUGAAUAACUAGUGUAGAAAUUCCUAAUGAAUUAUUUUAUGUGCUUUGUGUGUGUGUGUACUAAGUAUUCAAAACUCAGGAUGUCUUAUACAUAGAAUAAAUCAACAGACUAGCGAUCUUUCCAAGCUCAGUAGACACAUGUGGCUAGUCCUUACUGGGACAGCUUAGCCCUAGGCUGCUCUGCAGUAUUGGUUUAAUUAGAUCUGACGGCUCAUCCUGGGAUUACACUGUGCUGUGCAUUAUGUCCUAUAUAAUUCAGUUAAUAUUUCUAAUAAUAUGAUAAAAGUUUUGCUAUCAAUUUACAGAUACAAAUAGUAAGAUAAGCAGGUAUUCUCUACAAGAAUGGAUUUACAACUCUUUUGAUUGAAACCCUUCUGUUUGCUACAUGACAGUGUUUUGAAUAUAGCCACGCAGAGAUAGGACAGGCCGGUGGGUCCUUGACUCUUGCUUCUUAUUUUAAGGCACCACACACCUCUUAGCUUGUAAUGACAGUAGUCCUGGCAGCUGCUCUCAUAGUCUUGCUUUCCCACUUCCAAUUUAAACUGCUUUCUAUUGCUCUUGAAUGAGAGGUGUUCUGUCUGGCAGUUGGCUGUAGUGAGAGGGGGAAGGGAAGGUCAGCUCCUGUUGGGAAGAGAAACAGGGAGGAGUAAAGCUUGUGUCUAUCAGGCAAAGUUUUGUUUUGUUUUGUUUUGUUUUAACUUUGUCAGCGUUUGAGAUUUCUGGGGAGCCCUUACUCAACAUGUUUGAGUUAUACACAUUUUAUAUCAGUUUAUUGUAUGUUAUAUAGUAGAUUUAUACUUAACAGCAUCUCCAAUUUAAGUUGAAUAAUUCCUCGAAUUAGAUUCCUGUUUGUAAAGACUUUACUCACCACAGCAACCUUCUUUGUUCAAAGAGGGAGAACAGGCAGCUCUCCGUUUUGAACUGAUCAGAGUCACGGGUGAUGUGGAUACGCAUCUUUAAACUUGCAGUGCCCCUUUACCAUGGCUGGAACUACAGUUUACCAUCAGGGCGCUUGUUUGGUCAGUCUCCAGCAGGCCAGACAAAACGGGGGUGGGGUGGGAUAGGGUGGGGGGUCGGCAACUGUAUUCUUGUAGCCUAUAAGACCACAGCUUGCUUGCUUUGCUUUGCUUCGUUUUCAUUCUUCCUCCUUUUCCUUCUUGUUUGUGCAUGAGUGUUUGCCUGCGUGUGUAUAUGUGUACCACAUGCAUGCCUGGUGCCCAGGAAGGCCAGAGAGUCAUCAGAUCCCUUACACAUGUUUAGGAGCCACUGUGUGAGUGCUGAGAACUAAACCUAGGUUGUCUGCAAGACCAACUAGUGCUCUCAACUGCUGAGCCAUCUCUCUCUCUCUCUCUCUCUCUCUCUCUCUCUCUCUCUCUCUCUCUCCCCCCCCUCUCUCUCCCUCCCUCCCUCCCUCCCUCCCUCUCUCUCUCUCUCCCCCUCUCUCUCUCUCUCUCUCCCCCUCUCUCUCUCUCUCUCUCUCUGCAUAUCCCCACAUCUUUCUUAAAGGUGUUUAAUCUUUUGUUAGUUUCUAGAGAUUUAAAUAAGGGACACCGGCUUUCAUCACUGCCUAGUCAUGAAUACUAGAAGAAAAUAAAUAAAAAUAUGUGAGCAUGCCACUUGAAUUCAGAUUUUUUUUUAAAGAUUUAUUUAUUAUAUGUAAGAACAUUGUAGCUGUCCUCAGACACUCCAGAAGAGGGCAUCAGAUUUCGUUACGGAUGGUUGUGAGCCACCAGCCCAGAAUUUUUCUAUUUUAAGUAAUAUGUUCCGUUUUAGUUCCAUCAAACUAUAUAUAUCCUACUAUAAUCUAUUUUUAAAACAUCUGAAUUUGGGCUGGCAAGAUGGCUCAGUGGUUAAGAGCACUCAUUGACUGCUCUUCCAAAGGUCCCGAGUUCAAAUCCCAGCAACCACAUAGUGGCUCACAACCAUCUGUAAUGAGAUCUGACACCCUCUUCUGGUGCUGUCUGAAGACAGCUACAGGGACUGAGGGAAGCAGGGUGGACCAGAGCGAGCAGAGGUCCUAAAUUCAAUUCCCAACAACCAGAUGAAGGCUCAGAACAAUCUGUACAACUACAAUAUGUACUCAUAUACAUAAAUAAAUCUUUAAAAAAAGAGAAAUUCUAAUAAGUCUUCUAGCCAGAACAGAUAUUGGAAGAAUAUAAGUAAAUAGUUUGUUUUAUAUUUGUUCUUACACAGUUAACCCUACCAAUGUGUCAUGAGGCUUCUUUGGCCCCUGUUUCCAAUUUAUGAAUGGUAAUUCUGGUUCUUAAGGAAGAAAGGAUACACCUGGUAAAUGAAAACUUGUAAAGUUAAGAUCAUUUCUGUGACACAAACUAUCUUCAGUUUUAAAGGGAUUUUCAGAGCUGCAUGCUUCAUUGUGCCGCGGUGGAAUUUGGGAGGGUGUUGUUUAUCCAAGUUUCUUCAGGUGUAAGGAUGGUUUUAAGCAACAGAGUUUAGCCAGGCAGUGGUGAUGCACAUCUUUAAUCCCAGCACUCAGGAGGCAGAGAGACAGGUGAACCUCUUGAAUUCAAGGCCAGCCUGGUCUCCAGAUUGAGCUCCAGGACAGCCAGUAAGUGUUGGAUGCAGAGAUUCUUGGCUGUUCAAAACAGUGCAUGUUGAGCUUUAACCAGAUCACUUUUACUAUCCCCUAGAAGGCUUAGGGAAUAUCAUGGGAAAUCGGAUAGAAAGACUAAGAGGAGAGAGAGAAGGCUGCAGAGUGCUCUCUUCUGUGCAUGCGGGAGGAGGUCAUAGCAGUCAUGAAUCCCAGCAGCCCGUUGCUUUCAUUGGACAUACCCAAGAGCGGGCCUGGAAAGAGUCACAGAUGGUGGAAGAUCAGGGCCCACUCUUCCCUGCUGAAUGCUUCUGGAGAAGGGAAGUCCUCAUCUUCAGAUGCGUGCACAGGUGAGCCCACCCGGAUGCUCAGAGACCACCUGGUUAAGCUUGGUGGGUCACAAAACAAAGGCUGGAAGGGAGCCGGUGGGGAGGAUUGACAGGAGUGGGCAGGUGAGGAGAGGGUGGAGCCUAGAGUGAUCAGUGUGUUGUGUGGAUGAAGUUGUUGAGGACAAAUUUAGUUAUCAAAAGGUGAGGUACAACAAUCCCCAGCAGCUCUAGACUACCAUCUCUCCUGUUCUCUGGAUAAGGAAACUGAAUCUUUGCAAAAUUAAGAAACUAUGGUGUGUAUAUGGCAGAUCCAAGAUCAGAGUGCAGGUAAUUAUCCCAGGGUAUUUUAAUUUUGGUUUGGUUUGGUUUUGGUUUUGGUUUUGGUUUUGGUUUUGGUUUUGGUUUUGGUUUUGGUUUUGGUUUUUCGAGACAGGAUUUCUCUGUAUAGCGCUGGCUGUCCUGGAACUCACUCUGUAGAUCAGGCUGGCCUCGAACUCAGAAAUCCUUCUGCCUCCUGAGUGCCUUCUUUUUACUUUUAUAUGUCCCUUGUUCCUUUACGUUUGUUCCUUACAUGGUUGGUGUAUAAGAGGGCAGUUGACUUAGUGAGUGUGUUUUUGUUUAUCCUUUGAGAAUCUUAUCCGUGCAGAGGAUGGGUCUUGAUCACAUUCACUCUAGUCCUGUCUCCGAUUCCAAUUUCAUGUCUAUCUUCCAGUCCUUUGUUUUCUCUCCCAGUUUCCUUUCGCCACUUCUGGUGAGUCCAGUUAGUACUGCUCACAUGCUCAUGGGUAUAGGGCCAUCUACUGUUGCACCUACAGGGCACACCCUGGAAGAAAACUGACUCCUUCCCUAGCAGCCUGUGGUUCUUCAGCUCUGGUGGGACUGUGAGCACACCAACACCACUCACCUGGUCUGUGCUGCCUGCCGUGCUGGCUGCUGUGAUUGUGCGUGUCGAUACACACAGCCACAGCCGCUGUGCGCUCUGCAGUCUAGUGGCCCUGCCGUGUCUGGAUCAUACUGUUAGCGGCAGUGCUCCCUGACUUCAGGAUCCUAGCCGUCUUUCUGCUCCUUGAGCACUGGGGCAGGCGGCGUGUUAAAGAAUGUCUCGUUUAUGCUUGGGGAUUCCAGACAGUUGUAGACAUAGUUGUAAGGCUAUCCCUUGGAGCAUGAGUAACUAACUUGGCAGUAGCUACAUCAUCAAAGGCAGUGACUUUCUCCUUUCUAGUGGCCCUCAACUGCCUCAGCUCCCCUGGUCAGGAUGGGGCCCCGUGCGCCUCCCCCCCCCCCCUUGAUAGAUAGCUGGAUGUUUAUUCCCAGUCUUGUUCUGGCCCUUUGCAGGCAGCUGCAGUUAUUGUGAGUUCAUGAGAGCUCUGGCCAUGUUGGUCUCUGAGACAGUUUUUCAUGGCAUUUCUCUGCAGUCAUCCAGCUCUUCAGUUCUUUCCACCCCUUCUUGGGUGCUCCCUGACCCAGGCUAAGCUGUCAGCACAUUCUUGUUCUCAGCACCUUGAUCAGCUAUGGUUCUCCCAAUUAGCUGCCCUCACCGUAAAGAGUCACUGCCAAGCUUGAGGUAUGUCAUAUCCAUUUAAUAAAAUAAGAGUAGUUGGUUCAUUACCUCCCUGAUCGUGGAAUUUUGUCCAAAUUUAUAGUAAUAGACAGAGCCUUUCUUCCUCCUGCAAGUGGACCUCAGUUCAAACCAAGUCAAUUGGUGGUUUCUGUAGCAGCCAUGCUGCUUUUGCACCAGGAAACACCCGAGCCUGUAAGUCGGUAAUGUGUGUGUGUGGUGCAAAACUAAUAGUGAUCAUUGUUUUAAGUUUUUUCCUCCCAUCUGUCUGCAUAGCAGUUUGAGGCACUGUGAAGACCAGCCUGCAGGGGGAAGGAAGCUUUCCACUCUGUUCUGGCCUGGCUCGUCUAUCACUGCAACCAAGGUGUGUAGUGGCUUUAGCAGGGGGGUCUUAUCAUUCCACUCUUUGGGGCAGCAGAGGGAAGCAGCCAUAACCUGGGUAGUUUUGAGGGUCUCUGUGGCUUUGCUAGCCAACAACACCAGGAGCUGCCCACUACCUGGUACUAAGAUUUUCACUCAAAACCCAGAGCUUUGGGGUUGGCAUUAUCCACCCAUGGAUGUAUCUGUUCUGUCUUUUUUAAAGUUUUUUGGUUUUGUUUUUAAUUAUACAGUAGUGAGCUUCCUUAGUUUUUGCUAACUUCUCCCCUGUAUCCCAUUUUCACCUUUCACCAUUCCUGUUAAAACUUGCAACACCAAAUUACAUGUCACCUGUGCUCACCAUUCCUGCUUCCAAGGCCUUUUGCCUGCAUCCACUAUGCCCCAAGUUAAAUCUGAAAAUUCCAAGCUAUGAUCUGCAGUUGAGAGAAACCAUGUGGCGGUAUUUGACGUUCUGGGCCUGGCUAGAUUACCUCACUCCGUACAGUAUUUUCCAGUUCCAUUCAUUUGCCUUCAAGUUUUAUUUCAUUUUUCUUUAUAGCCUGAGUAUACAUAUUUUCCCCUUAUGUAUGUGUACCAGUGUUGCAUUAUCCAGUCAUUAGUUGCUGGACAUGGAGGCUGGUUCGGUUUUCUAGCUGUUGUAAAUGAAUAGAGCUUUGUUGGUGUCAAAACCUAUUGUCAGGUUUUUUGGCGGUCUUGUUACAGAAUUGAGGUAGUUUCCAUCUGUCCUUGUUUAUUGAGCAUUUUUAGAAUUAGUAAUGGGAAUGAAAUUUCAUUUAAUGGUUUUUCUUUGGCCUUUUUGGUGGACUGUUAGUUGACUUUUGAAUAAUAAAGGCAGCCAAGUAUACAUGGGCUAAAUAACAUUUGGUUAUGUUUUUCUUUCUGCAUUGUUAGAUUUGAGUUGUUGUUCUAUAGAUGAUUUUAUACCUGAGUUCAUUGCAGCCGAUGAUGUAUGAUUCUUUUAAUAGUUUGUUUGGCUUUGAUAUUAAGGGUAAUGCUGGUCUGAAAGGAUAAGUUAUCCUUCGAUCUUCUGGAGGAUAGUGUAGACAGUUAAAUUCUUCAAAUUUUUAGUAAAAUUUACCAAUAAACUCACCUGGGCCUGGUGUUUUCUGGUUUUGGUAGUUAUUAAUUAUUAAGUUUCUUAAUAGAUUUAGUUAAUAGUAAGAAAAAUGAGUUGGGUUUUAUUUUCACAUUCCUCUUCUGAUGUGCUUCAUUUCUUUAUCUAGUUCCAAGUUUCUUUCCUGAGUCAUUUUUCUUCUCUCUAAAGGACUUUAAACAUUUCAUGCAAGUCAUUUCCAUUGGACAGAAAUUCUCCCAAUUUCUACUUUCCUGAGAAAGUAUGAACUCACUCACUCACUCACUCACUCACUCACUCACUCACUCACUCACUCACUCAUUCAUUGGGUCUGGCUGUUUAGCUUAAGGUCUCAGUAAGCUGUCCAAGCUGACUUUGAGCUCACUAAGGCAGGCCGUGAACUUAAUCAUUUUGCCUCAGCUUUCUGAGUGGUUGGAACUUAGAACUGGGCCAUUAGACCUCACUAACAAGUGACUACUGAUAUCUCCAGUUUUAUGGCUAACAGGUUGCCCUGUGACAUUGUUUCUGUUAUGGCUGGAAGAAGAGUUAAUUUGUUUGAUUGUUUAACAAAGUAAUAAUCACAAUUUCUCGUAGCUCAGACUAAAAGCAGUUUUGUUUUGUUUUGUUUUGUUUUGUUUUGUUGUUUUUUGAGACAGGGUUUCUCUGUGUAACCUUGGCUGUCCAGGAACUCACUCUGUAGACCAGGUUGGCCUUGAACUCAGAAAUCCGCCUGCCUCUGCCUCUGAAGUGCUAGGAUUAAAGGCGUGAGUCACCACUGCCUGGCCCUGAAAGCAGAUUUUUGAUAGUAUUUAAUAUCACCCAUCAAUAUAUUUUGUUUUGGUUUGUAAAAUAUAUUUUAAAGUAAAAUAUUUUUUGUAUUUAUAUUCCCCUAUAAUAUAUAAAAAAUUUCAAAGUUGAGAAAAUUGUAUUGUCAGUACUCAUACUCAUUACUUCGUCCUACUGCUUAUAGAGUCGAUAUGGUCCUCCUGUUUCUAUAGUAUACAGAGUCCUGUUUAUAUAGUCGGUGUUUGCUUUGCUUUCUUUACUUGUCAUUCUUUUUUUUUUUUUUCUUAAAUUAGUUUUUGUAAUAGAGAUCCCAGACCUGAGCACAACCAUAAUGUAAAGUUAAAACUUGGUAUAAGGAUGGGGCUGGAGAGAUGGCUCAGCAGUUAAGAGCACCCGCUGCUCUUCCAGAGGUCCUGAGUUUUCAGUUCCCAGCAACCACAUAGUGGCUUAUCACUCACUAUCUGUAAUUGGAUCUCAUGACUUCUGAUAUAUUGAAGGUAGUGAUAGUAUACCCAUAUACAUUAAAUAAAUAAUAAUUAAAAGAACUUGAUAAAGAUAAGCAAUUUCAACUAUAGUCUGAUUCCAUUUUUAUGUGCUAUUUCUUUUAAAAAGAGAAAAAUUCCUCUAGGCAUAGUUUCCCUAUGUGGCUGGAACACACUCUGAACUUGUUAGCCUGACUCUGGCUCCUGCAUGUUGGGUGUGUGCUGCCAUGCUCAGGAAGGAGUCUGUCAUGUAGAAAUAACAGGAGCUAACCACACUAAAAGAAAGUGAUUGGUCUGUCUGAUUCUGAAUUUUGACUUUUUAAAUCCUCAAAUACAUUUUUUUUCUGCUUUCUCUGUAUUGUUAGUAUUUGAUACCCAUACUUAAAGUCCUCUUUAUUUUUAUAAACUCAUUAUAUAAACUGAUUUUUCAACAAAUACUUUAUUUGGAAGUCAUAUGGGGUUAUUUCUUCUUAAAACAGACAAAUGAAAAACUAGACGUCCUGUAGACUAGGAUAUGUGAGCUGGAGAAUGGGUCUCCCCCUUCCCUUUCUUUCAUGAAUCAACUAUUUUAGAUUUGUAUUUCCAGGUUGGUAAUGGCUUAUGGCUAAAGGAUCAUUCAUGUCUUAGGUAAAGAUGGUAGAAGUGUUCCUCUGAACCCAGACCUUACAGGAAUAGACUAUAAGGAAUUUUCUAAGUAUACAUCAAGAGCCUUUGUUAUGGAAUGAGCAUAUAUUUAAUAAGGCCAGGAAUAAUUGUCAAAAUUUCAGGAAACAAGUGGGCAAUUGCUGUUACAAAAGAAUGUCCUGCCUUGCUCAUUGUCCAUAUUUAGAUCAGCUGAUCAGCUGAUGGUGAGACUCAGAAGCACUUGCCACACAGGUGCAGUGCUCCUCCACACAGGUGCAGUGCUCCUCCACACAGGUGCAGUGCUCCUCCACACAGGUGCAGUGUUCCUCCACACAGGUGCAGUGCUCCUCAGCUGUUGGAGACAUUCCCUCCUCCCGCUCCCUCCUCUUCCGUAGAAUCAGGCUGUUUAAUCCACUAAUGUUAGAGGUGGAUUUGCACAUUUGAGUGUAUAUAUGUAUAUGUGUGUGUGUGUGUGUGUGUGUGCGUGUGUGUGUAUGUGUGUAUAUAUAUAUAUAUUUGGUAAUUUACAUAGUUGCAUUUUACUGCUUAGAUGACUUGAAUUUUUCUUAGGACCUAGUUUAAGGUCAUAGAGUGGUGUGGGUUUUGUCGUGUGUGUGUGUGUGUGUGUGUUUUCUUUUGGCUUUUCAAGACAGGGUUUCUCCAUGUAGCCCUGGCUAGCUUCAAACUCAGAGCCCCCUUUGUCUGCCUCCUGAGUGCUAGGAUUAAAGGUGGGCACUGCCAUGCCCGGGCUAGUUCACAGAGCUUUAGAACUGAAAAAGGCUGCUCUUGAAAGCCCCCGUCUAGAGGGAGAGUUUGACCUGUAAAAUGAACCGAGAGGAGGGCUUAUCUUUAUUCUUAACUCCUGUAACUAAGCGGACAAGAGGCCUAGAGCUGAUACUUGUUUGCGAAUGUGUUGCUUUGCAAGAUAAAGCUACGUGGUCGUCACAGCACUAAACUGAGGAGUUAUAGGUUCUAGGAACUCAGAAAAGCAGUCUUGAGAGCUGGUGCUUUUGAGCUGAGCAGGAUAGUCCCGAGCCACACUACUCAUGCAUCUAUCUCCUUGUGUGUAGUUGAGAACUGGUUUUGAGAGGUUCUCCUUACCUAAGAACCUACAGUGUAUCUCCAGCAGCAGUCUUCUAGCCAUUUAUCUGUUGGUUUUGAUGUGUUCUAUUAUAAGGUGUUAAAGCUUAGUUACUCAACGUCUGAAAGUGCAAGGGAAAAAUGCUCUUUGGUUUUUAAGAAAUAGAAAAUACCUUAGUUUUUAUGGUUUUUAUAAUGAGAAAGUAUAUAGCCUUUGGAGUCAGACAUAAAUAGAUUUUAAUUUUGUUGGGAAUUCCAUUAACAAAAUUUAUGCACAUUUAUAUCAAGGAGGUAACUUAACUUUUUAUGGGUCAAUGUCUCACUCAGAACAAAAUGUAGUAAUAUAUUCUCUAAAAUAGUGGUGUUGUAUUAAUUGAGGCACUUUAAAAUGUGUGUCAACAAGCUAGCUCCCAGUACAGGAGUGCUGCAGCAAUUGCUGUCCCUUGAAAGGGCUGCACAGUGGUCAGGAGAUUGGACCUCUCUGAUAUCAGAGAGACGAGCCUUCAGCCUGUCUGUUCUUUAUGUCUUUAGCACCACACUUCUCCAGGUGUUGAGGGAAAGAAAGAAACACCUCCUAGUUACAUCAGACUGUCUGGUUGUGAAGGUACUAAGACUACUCAGGGUCAGAGACGAGGAGAGUCGUCGUGAGCUACAGAACUUCCACAUCCUUUGUGCUUGUAGCUGCAGACUUGACUCUCAGAGCGGAAAGAAAGCAGAGAACAUAGAGAAUGACAAUUACCAGGAGAAGCAAAUGUCUAGAAUUUUCCUGGGAGAAAUACAUUUCUGUGUACUGUGAUUUACUUUAGUUCAAGAUGCAUAGAAUAGAAAGAUAUGAGUGCAUCCUGUGACACUGAUUGAGAGAAGCAUUCGAUAGAUAUACAACUGCCGAUUUGUCUGGUCUUGUAAGUAGAUACUUAGUCACUAAAUGCUUAGGGCUCUUAGACUUUCUCCUUAUUACAAGUGCUGUUCUUUAAAAAUGUGAAGUGGAUAACUAACGCUUCUAGUUUUCUCAGGUUUCUACCUUGGAGUAAAAUAUGAAAAACAUGUUUAAGAUCCCACUUGCCGACUUCCUUAAUUGAUCUUACAGUCUCAGUCGCUUACUGCUUGCUGUCUGUUCCACUGUAGGGUAUUCUAACUGCACUGGCUUACUUCAUUCCAGGACUGACACACCAAACAUGUAACUACCUUCCAGCCUUUGUGUUCUUGGCUGGUCUUUCUGUGACUAACCUUCACAUUUUAGAGAGUCAUAUGGCAUGUUCUUCCAGGAGUCUAUUGAAAUGCUAUUGGCGGGGAGGGGUUUCUCUGAUUAUCUUACUAAAAAUAGCUUCUUUCACAAUCAAGCCCUAUUGUUUCCAUCUGAAAUACUGAGGCCUAUCUGGCAUGUAUGGAUUUUUAGCAUUAACUUGUUUAUUGUUUCUUUGAAUCUCUGUAGAAGAUAAGUGCCAGGAGGGCAGGGGUCUUGGGUUCCUCCAGCUGUCAGUGUGACAUCACAAACCUAGACAGAGUUGGGGAGAAGGACUCUCAGGGAAGAGUUGCCUCUAUAAGAGUGUCCUGUGGGCAUGUCUGCUGGGCCAGUUUCUUGAUCGCCCACUAGAACGGUGCCCUGAGGAGUGGGGUUGGGCUGUGUAUAGGAGAUGUAGUUUGAGUAAGCCUGUGAGCAGGAGUCCUUCAUGAUCUCUGCUUCAGGUCCUGCCUCCACAGCCUGGGGCUAAAGGAUGGACAGACAGAACCUGUAAGCCAGUAAAGCCUCCCCAGGCUGCUGUGGUCAGUCUCUUAUCACAGCUAUAGAAAGUAAACGAGGGCAAACACGUGUAGUCACUCGGUGCCCAGACUCGCGUUGCCCAGCGUGCAGCACCCAGUCUCUUCCCUGGCACUGUGGCCCCAUGGAGUCCUUUCAGCCAUCAGUGUAUUUGCUUAAGAGUAGCACAUACUUUAUAGUAUCCUGACUUAUAACCUGUUCAUAGUAAAUAUGUGCUUAGGAAAACAUAAUGGUUGGUAAAUGUUCAGGUUAAAAACUAGAAAAAGUUUAUAUUUGUUGAAAGCUUUGACAAAACUAAUUAUAUUUUUGAAAUUGGUAACGGAAGUUUA
Molecule: long non-coding RNA, 11508 nt
Organism: Mus musculus (house mouse)
Lineage: Eukaryota; Metazoa; Chordata; Mammalia; Rodentia; Muridae
Product: predicted gene, 50589
Exons: 2
Source: RefSeq, a predicted model, not a curated record